GAUGAACGCUGGCGGCGUGCCUAAUACAUGCAAGUCGAGCGAACAGGCGAGGAGCUUGCUCCUCUGACGUUAGCGGCGGACGGGUGAGUAAAACGUGGAUAACCUACCUAUAAGACUGGGAUAACUUCGGGAAACCGGAGCUAAUACCGGAUAAUAUAUUGAACCGCAUGGUUCAAUAGUGAAAGACGGUUUUGCUGUCACUUAUAGAUGGAUCCGCGCCGCAUUAGCUAGUUGGUAAGGUAACGGCUUACCAAGGCAACGAUGCGUAGCCGACCUGAGAGGGUGGUCGGCCACACUGGAACUGAGACACGGUCCAGACUCCUACGGGAGGCAGCAGUAGGGAAUCUUCCGCAAUGGGCGAAAGCCUGACGGAGCAACGCCGCGUGAGUGAUGAAGGUCUUCGGAUCGUAAAACUCUGUUAUUAGGGAAGAACAAAUGUGUAAGUAACUAUGCACGUCUUGACGGUACCUAAUCAGAAAGCCACGGCUAACUACGUG
This 497-nucleotide ribosomal RNA is filed under the name uncultured bacterium. RNAcentral's name for it is "partial 16S ribosomal RNA". It matches the Rfam family "Bacterial small subunit ribosomal RNA", at positions 28 to 507 of the family's 1533-position model. The record is from RNAcentral.